RNAcentral lists this unclassified non-coding RNA (369 nucleotides) under fungal sp. RNAcentral's name for it is "partial internal transcribed spacer region". The stretch from base 1 to 46 matches the Rfam family "Eukaryotic small subunit ribosomal RNA", at positions 1786 to 1831 of the family's 1831-position model. Lineage: Eukaryota; Fungi. The record is from RNAcentral.
AAGUCGUAACAAGGUUUCCGUAGGUGAACCUGCGGAAGGAUCCAACGUUAAACAACCCUGUGAACUUUAAGUCCCCUCUUGCAGCCCAUGAGGAACAGCAAUCCCGGUAAAUCAUUGCCAAACAGUUUUGAUUCGGGACCUCUGUCCAUGGAAGCAGUGGCAUGGCUUCCCCAAGCAGUUAGUGAAUGACAGUGUCACUGACUGUGUAAGGAUAACGCCUCACGGUUGCUAGAGGUCGAUCACCGACCGGCAGACAUGUCACAGGGUCACCACGCCCCUUAAUCACUCCACUUGAAAAUGCCCCGCCUAGUGGUAACGCGCUAGGUAAAAAAAACCGAACAACUGUUAACAAUGGAUAUCUUGGUUCUC